AACAACUUUAUUUUUCGUUUUUUCGUGUUUAACAUUUGACCAUUCGUCUUAUUUGAAUUUUUUUUAUGAUUAAUAUUUUUAUUGUUACUAGAUGAUAAAAUAUAAAUAGUACUUUAUAUGUGACUAAUUUUUUUAAGUUUUUGUAUAAAUUUUUUAAAUAAGACGAAUGGUCAAACGUUAGACAUGGAAAAAC
Molecule: microRNA precursor, 193 nt
Filed under: Oryza brachyantha (malo sina)
Lineage: Eukaryota; Viridiplantae; Streptophyta; Magnoliopsida; Poales; Poaceae
Description: MIR812 microRNA precursor family
Rfam family: MIR812 microRNA precursor family
Source: Rfam by way of RNAcentral